This 416-nucleotide unclassified non-coding RNA is filed under the name Hevea brasiliensis (rubber tree). The record is from RNAcentral. Lineage: Eukaryota; Viridiplantae; Streptophyta; Magnoliopsida; Malpighiales; Euphorbiaceae.
UAAAAGAUUUAACUAAAAUUAAAAACUUACAAAAAUUUGAAAAUUUUUUGACCACUUUGCCUUAAAGAAAAAUUAGCAAUAAUCUAAAAUUAGUUUUUUCUCCUAAUUUAAGAAUCAUACAAAAUUAGGAAAUUAUACAGAAAACUUAGUGUGUAUCAUAAUAAAAAUCUCACCUUCCAUAAUUAGUUAAUGGGUGGUGGGUGUAUAUUAUAAUAUCCCACAAAAUUUUAAAUUUUUUCUUAUUGUAACUAUGGGUGUUAAAAGACUGUCCAAACUGUAUAAUCCAAUCCAAGCCAUGUCAAUCUGCACCUAACUCAAAAUUUUAUAGCUGUUCAUGGAUUAGGUUUUAUAUAUAUAUAUAUUAUCAUUUGCAAAUAGGGUAAUUACAUGCAACCCAGAACUACGAUGACAACAGG